This 5881-nucleotide long non-coding RNA is filed under the name Varroa destructor (honeybee mite). RNAcentral describes it as "uncharacterized LOC111249772". Lineage: Eukaryota; Metazoa; Arthropoda; Arachnida; Mesostigmata; Varroidae. The record is from RNAcentral.
GAACCCAUCGAGGUGAUGAACGAUUCGUAAAGCCAUUAUCAAAAAGAUUUUUUAGGAAUCGGUUUGACGGUCUAAUUGGAAAGCGUUCACGUCUUGUUAGCCCCCGGCUGUAGAAUCACCAUAUAAGCAACACUAACAAGAGAUGUGACUUGUAUUACAGAGAAUUACAGUGUAGAUAGUCUUUCCGUGCAUAGAAACACAAACAGGACCCAAGUUGAAAUAAUGUGUUACGUUGACGAAUGAAUGUUUUGAAAAAGUACAAUCCUUAGACAGACUUUUUCCCAGGCUAAACGAGCUGAACCCAAUUACGUGUAGCUGUGCGUACUGAAGAAAUUGUUACUCCUUGACAGUUAUUAAGUAUCUGAAAUUGAUAUUUCUUUUUGCUAUAUGCGUGCGACUGCUGCGAUGCAUGCGAUUAGACAAGAAAAUAUUUUACGUAUAACCCUGCUCUGAAGACAAUUAUACGAUAUCUGAACUGUAUCAAGCAGCUAAUCUGAAGUAAACGGCCUGUCACCAACAGCUACGCAGAAUCUCAGCCAAUAAAAUUGAGGCAACGAAAUAUUGGGCUUUUAAACGGGCAUUGUAGCAGAGCAACGGUAGAUAUGGAGUCUAAAAUGACAUCCAGGCGUCUACGUUUCCUUAUGCACCUGACGGUGACUACGCUCCUUAUUACAACGCUCGUAUCUGUCGAUUCAACGACGGCCUGCAUAAUGAGACAAUCAUGUGUUUGUACGCGCCGCCGAAUGGGACUUGAAAAGGUCUGCGCCCAGGAACAAGGAAAAUCUCCAAGAACUUAUACAAAUUUGUGUGAGACGAUUUGUGCGAACGCUGAAGUUCUCUACAGUGGACGGUGCAGAGAAUCGUCCGAUGAUCUAGCGGCAGAACAAUAACAAUAUGUUUUUGGGUUUAAGCAAUCGCCUAUUAUGCCUUUAAGAUUUCUCUCAUUAUUCGUAUAGCAUUACUAAAUAUUUGAACGCUGUCAUUUGUAACUAAAUGAUCAGUACCUAAGGACGUCUGCCCUCCUAAACAAUAACGAUUGAAUCAUUAUCGUCUUUAUAUAUUUGCGACGCUCUUAUGUCACCAUGACCAGCAUAUACGAGAUGACGUCCAGCUAGAUGUAUAGUAAAAAUACAGAAAAGUCAAGAUCACUUUUAUUUUGACGUCGGAGUAAAAUUACACAGUUCAUAAUUAAAUGUCAAUUCUUAAUGCUUUUUUUGCAAAUGUUUUGUUUCCGCCAAUUUUUAUAGUUUUGCGUUGUUUCCUUAAUAUCCUUGAAAGCGCCACAGCUGUACCAUCUAUCCGCACACUUAAUGAAGUUAUCUAAUAUAUAUUCUGAUUGGGCUAACUAUUCAAAUAACUUGAUUAACACAAAUCACCUUAAGUUACAGUCACGUUUGACCCUUCGAUUUAACGUGACGAGGUUCAAUAUAAAGUUCUUCGCAGUAACCGUUGAGCUAAAUACGCGUUGGUGGCUUUCCAAUCACGCUCCUUUUCCUUGGCUAUCGUCAUUUCACCACAGAAUCCUUUUCCGACAUAACUAUUUCAGCUUCACCAAAACAGACGAAACCCUUAAAGAAAUGAAGUUUUCAUUUUCCAAGUCCCAGUUGAAACGACGUUGAAACUACAGCCACCAAAGUCGGCCAAAACGUGCCUUGUCUUCCUGCUCACAAUUGAGCUUCCAGAUUGUGACAAUACUACCAUCUAAAGCCAAUAUCAGCUUAACUAUUAUAGGUAAACUAUUUCCUUCGUUCACAUAAAUGAAUUACUCUUUGCCGACGGACCAAGCCCACAAAUCGAAUGGGUCGACAAGGGCGAACGAUAUUUCUCUACCAGAUCAUAACAAUAUCGGCUAUUGCCAAUUGGAAAUCUCGAACAGUUGCAAAACCGAAGUAAAUAAGACCAGAAAGGUUGGAAUCUGUACGAAAUUAGAGCAGCCCACCCGACUUUACCCGUAUGAAAACGUGUUAUUUAAAAACAAUAAGGCGGACCGAAAGGUGUAGCUUAAAAGAUCGUUCUCUUUCCUAGAUAUCCGCCUAAGAGGUAUACAUCUAAUAACAUUAUAAUACAAUCAUUAGAAAUGUGUUUCGUCUAAUUUUACCUUUAGCUUCCUAAUCUGCUACCAUAGAGCGUGGCACUUUUCAGCACAACCUUUAGAACUACGGAAUUAAUUAAAUAGCGACUAAAAAAAUCAAUCUUAAUUAGGCGUGUAACGUACGCACCAGCGACUGUAAACGCUCUAGAGACGCCAGUCGCGGUGAGAGAUAUUAGCGCUAAAGACAAGGUUCGUACGUGCGAAAAAAUGUAACCUACCAUAUGGUCUUCUUUUGUUGUUACACGGUACUAAAUGUAUCCAUCGAGACACCCCACCAGCCGAGUGGCUUCCAGUACGAAACGAAGUGCGCCAAUCAAUGCCCAAAUUCGGACUUAGAUUAUCGUGUGUUACGAAGUACUGAUAAGCUUUAGGCGUUCUGAAGGUUCACAACUUUGAUUUGAUCGCUAACGGGUUAGCAAACAUUAGGCUUAAGCCUCCUCGGAAUCUUCACCCUGAACAUGAGUUGCAGACAUUACGGAAAUUGCCAUUGAAAUCGAAAGGAUACAUCGGAGGACCGAUUAUUGUAAACAAAAGUAUAUCGACGUGUGAAGACCGGAGGAAAUAAACAAUGUUACGAACAUCCAUUAUAAUACAUACUUCACUGUUUAUAAUUAAUUACCAAUUAAUAUAUUUUAUUUAUAUACUUUUUUAGCCUUCUUUCUUAGCUCGGUGUUCAAUCACAUGGUUUUCACAAGACAGCUUUGUCUUGCGCGCUAUCAUGAAUCUUAGCCUAUAUGUUAAGGUAGUCUGUGCACUAUAUAUAGGUGGCCGUAACACAACGAAACACGAAACGUUAACUCGAAAAUGCUACAGACGCCAAGACCUUUGCGAUGGCUACACAUUAUAUUAUGGAAGACGAAGAAUAUAAUGAAGGUCGCGUGGAUACACGUACUCGAUAUGAAACAAGGAAUGUAGGGCUUUUCCUUUCCAUUAAGCGGAUUAACGAGGCGAACCAACAACGAAACUUCAAUAUCAUAUAAGAGUGACCUCGGUAAAGUUUGAAGAUAGACUUCAAAUGAGAGCCACGUUUGAGGACUAUGUCACGACUUCAAACAGAGCGCCUUUGGAAAACGUUAGUGAAUGUAGCAAUAUCUAUAGAGCACCCUUCGAAGUUGUACGGACAUAGACAUCGAAAUGUUCUCGUUAAAUAUUUAACCUACAUCUGAGUAUAGUGGUCCCAGAACAAAGGGUGCUAUGGCUGUUUCUGAGCAUGGUAUUUUUAAAAACUUAGCUAUUACCAAUAACGAUAUCAGCUUCCGCUGCCAUUCUGUCAAGAACCUGUAAACAUAUUACACGGCUUCCGAGAACUUGACAGAUAUCUACAAAAUGGUAUUUGGCCGAGUUAACUGUUAACGUCCUGCGUUUUCACCAAGCGUAAGAGCCUGAUCUUUUGCUACCAAAACCGCCAAAAUUCAAUCUGUUGAAUACACUCCAAGACGUGGUAUAUCUGUUAGCGUAUUCAGCUGUGCAAACGGUGAGUCUAAUAAGCUCUGUUGUGGAUGGUCGAGAAUGAAAUAGCAGAUAUGCGAACGCCAUCUUCGAUCGUCAUUGAGAACUUUCUUUAAGAGAAAACACGUACAGGUGAACGGAACGACCCUUCCCGCACCUUUCCAUUGUGUUUAAAUACACUUUAUUUCGUAAAGCAAUGGUUAACGGCAGUAUCGGAUGUUAUAUUCAAAUAAAUGUUUCAUAUCCAAUGUAGAUGCUCAGAUUUUUCAUAUCGUUGCCUACGAUAAAUUCAACAUCUGUUCCCGCGGAAUACCACGAAAUUACACGUAAAAAAUAUCGUAUAUCAUACAGCGCGUUUGGAUAUGGCCCUCAAGCAGAACGCUAAUUUCUGCUUGUCGGUAUUGAUGUCAUUUAUGAAACAAUUGGCUUCCUAAACUUUACAUUAGACUGAAAUAGGGGGCACGAGAGAAUAUAUGUCGUCAUAUUCGGAGGUCUUCCUUAAGCCGUAUAAGUUAUUUUGCUAUAAAGCCGCUUAAAACUUCAAUGAAAGUGUUACUUUGCAACAAAACUAUCGAAAUAUUGCGUCAGUUGUAUCAGCAAUAUUUCAGUAGUCAUACAUAUUAGUAUCUCGUUUACGAUAUGUAUCAUCUAACCGUAUCCGUUUGUUAUUAAUGGUUUUUAAGCACUAGGUAGCCGCGAUGCUUGCAAUUAAACUUUUGCGCCAAACUAAGACGAGCGAAUCCAACCGUGAAAUCAUAAUAAUAAUUAAAUUUUACUUGAUAGAACAUUAUAUUUCCGUGACUGCAUAUACAAGAAAUGGUCUUUUUACACGUUGUGUCUAUCGAUUCGAGCAGCUAGAUGCUGCUCACGGCCGACAGAUUUGACGUUUUAAAAUUUUGUAGUAACUAAACUUCGGUAAUCACAACUUGCGGAGAGAGUACAAUUUUACAGCAGUUAUUUCGGAGAAAUUUAUGAAAACGAUGUCUGCACGAACUACACAACUAACCGAAAAACAAGCUAGCGAUUAGUUAGGUUUAAGAAAUUACACGUAAAAAUAUAAAAACAGUACACAUCCAGAAGGAUGCAAUUCAACUGUUCUGUGAAGAAGCGUAUUUCACACAGAGUGGGAACGCAGCGGAAGUCUUCGUGGCUUAGCGGAUUUCCGGAUUGGAGACAAUACAGAUAAAUUAUCGGAGAAUAUAGAGUUAUUAUUAAGUAACGUUCAAUGCUACGCCACAAAUUAGACAGAGUGUAUGUAGGCCUGCUGGCAUGAAAUGAGACUGAAUAGCCUAGCUAGAGCAAAGAAUUUAGUUUUAAAAAGAAACUCAAAUAGUCAACAAGGUUCUUUGUUUAUAAAUCCAGAGCAAGUCGGGUUUGUAUUGGUUUGGCAGUCUGUUCAGGAGAACACGUAUAAAAAUAUAGCAUAAUUAUAACGGACAGUGUUGUAUGGACUUCUGUUGCAUAAAUGAUUAAUUAUAUGGCCAACCCAUUCACGAAAUAUAGGGUUUCCACUGGUGUAGGGUUAAGGGCUUUUCAGGUAAGUCUAUAUAUGGACUAAAUAGCUUAGUGAAGAAAUGUUUCGAGUUUCACGUCCGGUCCUAAGCAUUGCCCCAGAGAACUGGCUCCUAGCAUGAAGCUUGCAUGAUGUAUCUUUGUCUGCCUCGAAUCCAAGGCACCAGUUGUAAGUUUAUUAGGGAGACACGUUACCGCUGCACCGUCACGAGAAUACACUGAAUCAUCUGUCAAGCACUUACUUGACAUAUCGUUGAAGUAAUGCUAAACAGACUAUGUUGAACGCUCGUUACGUCGAUUAGUUCAUUCGAAGUAACAGCGAUGUAGAAAAACGGGAACUAAACAAAUUCAUAGUUCGUGAUUCUUUCGGGUGCAUUCGUCUCCAGCCUAUAGUAAAAUUUCCAGCAGCGUUUCAAUAGUAGCCUUUAUAAGGUCGAAUUUUUGCGGAACGAAGCAUCUUACAGAGAGAAAAUUGCCUAUUUGAACGGCCCAAUAUGCCGCUUCGAUUGGACCAAAUGCCAAGGACGGCAGCCGGACGUACUUCAUAUUCAUGCAGCAGCCCGGUAAAAAGUAAAAAAAAAAAAAUAGUUAAAGCAGUUAAAAACAGCGAAUAUGUGCUAAUAGGUAACGGAGACCAAAAAGUAUACAUUUAUUAAUUAUUGCUUCAUGUGUAUAGUAUUGUGCUUGCAUAAUUAAUGAAUACAGUUUUUCUUGACCGAUUACCGGUCCGAACUGCAACACAGCUUCCGACUUCAGAGCCUCUUCAGAUAUCACUACUACGGAAACCGUGAGAUGUGCGCGAGGCUUCGUAGCCAUGCAGCCUCCAAA